AUUGAACGCUGGCGGAAUGCUUUACACAUGCAAGUCGAACGGUAGAGGGGGCAACCCCUCGAGAGUGGCGAACGGGUGAGUAAUAUAUCGGAACGUGCCCAGUCGUGGGGGAUAACGUAGCGAAAGUUACGCUAAAACCGCAUACGAUCUAAGGAUGAAAGCGGGGGAUCGCAAGACCUCGCGCGAUUGGAGCGGCCGAUAUCAGAUUAGGUAGUUGGUGGGGUAAAGGCUCACCAAGCCAACGAUCUGUAGCUGGUCUGAGAGGACGACCAGCCACACUGGAACUGAGACACGGUCCAGACUCCUACGGGAGGCAGCAGUGGGGAAUUUUGGACAAUGGACGCAAGUCUGAUCCAGCCAUUCCGCGUGCAGGAUGAAGGCCCUCGGGUUGUAAACUGCUUUUGUACGGAACGAAAAGGCCUCUCUUAAUACGGGGGGCUCAUGACGGUACCGUAAGAAUAAGCACCGGCUAACUACGUGCCAGCCGCCGCAGUAA
This 496-nucleotide ribosomal RNA is filed under the name uncultured bacterium. RNAcentral's name for it is "partial 16S ribosomal RNA". It matches the Rfam family "Bacterial small subunit ribosomal RNA", at positions 30 to 523 of the family's 1533-position model. The record is from RNAcentral.